This 454-nucleotide ribosomal RNA is filed under the name uncultured Rikenellaceae bacterium. RNAcentral describes it as "partial 16S ribosomal RNA". It matches the Rfam family "Bacterial small subunit ribosomal RNA", at positions 341 to 792 of the family's 1533-position model. The record is from RNAcentral. Lineage: Bacteria; Pseudomonadati; Bacteroidota; Bacteroidia; Bacteroidales; Rikenellaceae.
ACGGGAGGCAGCAGUGAGGAAUAUUGGUCAAUGGACGGAAGUCUGAACCAGCCAUGCCGCGUGAAGGAAGACGGCCCUAUGGGUUGUAAACUUCUUUUGGUCGGGAGCAAUAAGGGUCUUGCGAGGCCCGAUGAGAGUACCGGCCGAAUAAGCAUCGGCUAACUCCGUGCCAGCAGCCGCGGUAAUACGGAGGAUGCAAGCGUUAUCCGGAUUUAUUGGGUUUAAAGGGUGCGUAGGCGGACAGGUAAGUCAGUGGUGAAAUAUUCCGGCUCAACCGGGAGGCUGCCAUUGAUACUGCCUGACUAGAGUACAAACGGCGCCGGCGGAAUAUGUCAUGUAGCGGUGAAAUGCUUAGAGAUGACAUAGAACACCGAUCGCGAAGGCAGCUGGCGAGGAUGGCACUGACGCUCAUGCACGAAAGCGUGGGGAUCAAACAGGAUUAGAUACCCUGGUA